UUCACCAGCUCCAUGCAGGGACAUCACAGGGCUGCCCUCCAUGAGCAGAGGAGGAGGGCUGCCUGGCAGAGCGUUUCACACUCCAGGUUAGCCAGAAAGAGCAUCUUCAUUUUUGUUUCCACACAACACUUCUCUGUGAGCCUGUUGGCCAACAAAGUGGCGGCCGAUUGUUGGAGGAGCCAGCCAACCAUCUUGUCUAACUUCAGAUUCUUCAGGGCUAGAAUAUGUUCACCCCAGAGGCUUAGAUGAAGCACAUUUGCGGCUACUCGGGCAGAUGGUCUCUGCAACAGGAAGGGAAGCUGUAGCUAGAACAUCUGUUAACACAGUCUCAACCCAAAGCCUGCUUUGUUAG
This 352-nucleotide long non-coding RNA is filed under the name Homo sapiens (human). Its description in RNAcentral is "non-protein coding PINK1-AS:2". Lineage: Eukaryota; Metazoa; Chordata; Mammalia; Primates; Hominidae. The record is from RNAcentral.